This 853-nucleotide unclassified non-coding RNA is filed under the name Collomia cavanillesii. Its description in RNAcentral is "partial contains tRNA-Leu (trnL) and trnL-trnF intergenic spacer". The stretch from base 1 to 497 matches the Rfam family "Group I catalytic intron". Rfam says of the family: Group I catalytic introns are large self-splicing ribozymes. They catalyse their own excision from mRNA, tRNA and rRNA precursors in a wide range of organisms. The record is from RNAcentral. Lineage: Eukaryota; Viridiplantae; Streptophyta; Magnoliopsida; Ericales; Polemoniaceae.
AAUUGGAUUGAGCCUUGGUAUGGAAACCUACUAAGUGAUAACUUUCAAAUUCAGAGAAACCCUGGAAUUAAUAAAAAUGGGCAAUCCUGAGCCAAAUCCCUUUUUCGAAAAAAAACAAAGAUUCGGAAAGCAAAAAUAAGAAUAAAUAAAGGGGGAUAGGUGCAGAGACUCAACGGAAGCUGUUCUAACAAACGGAUUUGACUGCGUUGGUCGAGGAAUCUUUUCAUCGAAACUAAAGAAAGGAUGAAAGAAAAACAUAGAUACAUAUGUAUACGUAUUGAAAUACUAUAUCAAUUUAUUAAUAACGAUCCAAACCUGUAUCCUUAUUUUUUUCUAUAAAAAAAAAAGAAAGAAGUGUUGUGAAUAGAUUCCACAAUGAAUAAAGAAUUGAAUGCUUCUUGAUCAAAUAAGUUAAUCCAUAGUCUGAUAGAUCUUUUGAAGAACUGAUUAAUCGGACGAGAAUAAAGAUAGAGUCCCAUUCUACAUGUCAAUACCGACAGCAAUGAAAUUUAUAGUAAGAGGAAAAUCCGUCGACUUUAGAAAUCGUGAGGGUUCAAGUCCCUCUAUCCCCAAAACAAAAGCAUAUUUUAUUUACUCCGGCGGAAAUGCCUCUCUCUUAUCAAAGGAAUCCUUUUGGGGAAGGAAUCUCCAUUUGAAUGAUUCACGGACCAUCUCUUUAUUCAUACUGAAACUGACAAAGUUUUUUUUUUAAUCCAACAAAUUCCAAGGCCUGGAUAAGACUUUGGAAUAGCUUAUCAUUUUUUAAUUGACAUAGACCCAAGUCAUCUAGUAAAAUUAGGAUGAUGUAUUCUGAAUCGUAACCGUCGGGAUAGCUCAGCUGGUAGAGCAGAGG